AGCAGCGUAGCUCAGUGGAAAGAGCACGGGCUUGGGAGUCAGAGGUCAUGGGUUCGAAUCCCACCUCUGCCA
RNAcentral lists this transfer RNA (72 nucleotides) under Ornithorhynchus anatinus (platypus). It matches the Rfam family "tRNA". From Rfam's summary of the family: Transfer RNA (tRNA) molecules are approximately 80 nucleotides in length. Their secondary structure includes four short double-helical elements and three loops (D, anti-codon, and T loops). Lineage: Eukaryota; Metazoa; Chordata; Mammalia; Monotremata; Ornithorhynchidae. The record is from Rfam by way of RNAcentral.